Long non-coding RNA from Glycine soja, 1062 nucleotides. RefSeq lists it as uncharacterized. The record is from RefSeq and is a predicted model, not a curated record. The transcript has 3 exons. Lineage: Eukaryota; Viridiplantae; Streptophyta; Magnoliopsida; Fabales; Fabaceae.
AUCCUGGACUGAUAUCUGCAUUUGUGGAGAGGUGGCACGGUGAGACUAGCACCUUCCACCUUUCUGUAGGAGAGCUGACGAUCACAUUGGAUGAUGUCUCGAACCCAUCCUAAUCAUACACACUCUUUCUACGGAGGAGACCAGAUUUUUGCUGACGGAGUUGCUGGAGGUGUCUGCCGAGGAGGCCAGAGCCGAGACAGCACUCACACGUGGGGCAUAUGUAUGAUUAGGAUGGGUUCGAGACAUUUAUGAGACGAGAUGUCAGGCCCGGCGGUGGAUUGUCGCAGCUCGCGCUUAUCUAUUGCACCUUGUCGGUUGCACUUUUUUUGCUAAUAAGAGUGCAACAUACGUGCAUGUGGUUCACCUUGUAGGACCACCACCCGACAGCUUGCGGGGUACUUGAUGCUACUUCAGUGUUGGAUCUAUGAGCACUUCCCUAGUGUGCACCAGUGCGUGACUGAAGAUACAUACCAGGAGAUGUCCCCACGUGCUUCCCGGUGGUUGACGUCGAAGGCGCACAUGAAGGGAGAUUACAGGAGCACCCUACAGGGCACGCUGUGAUGGUUUGACCGUCACAGAUGUGUCCUGGUUGUCGUACACGGAGCAUCGGGGGGUUAGGGCAUUUCAGGAGAUUUCAUCUUUCCAAGGUCAACUGAGAUGGGGUCCUAUGGUCAUCACAGCUCGACCGGAGAGGGUGGUACGCCAAUUUGGUUACAUCCAGAGCAUCCAUCCGCCGCCUGUUAGUGCACGAUUGUCACACGAUUAGAUACAUGACAGGUGGAUGCAGUUUGCGGAUCACUUACUACCUGCGGGUCAGCUUUGUCUAGUGCUUGGGUAGGUAUCUGCGGAUUACAUGGAGUGGUUUUUCCGCAUAUCUCACCCAUUCAUGAUACCGACCUAGGCAGGUGACCAGCCGAGGGAUGCACCAGCUGCAGACCCUGAGGACUACAUACAGCCGCCCAACCCCCAGGUUCCAGUAUCAUUUGACCCCCGUCCACAUGUGGAUGAUUACGACAGAUAUGAGGCGAUUGCACAGAGGUUGGAGAGUGUGCUCAACCUUAG